UAUAAUGGGUCAGCGACUUAUAUUCUGUAGCAAGGUUAACCGAAUAGGGGAGCCGCAGGGAAACCGAGUCUUAACUGGGCGUCUUAGUUGCAGGGUAUAGACCCGAAACCCGGUGAUCUAGCCAUGGGCAGGUUGAAGGUUGGGUAACACUAACUGGAGGACCGAACCGACUAAUGUUGAAAAAUUAGCGGAUGACUUGUGGCUGGGGGUGAAAGGCCAAUCAAACCGGGAGAUAGCUGGUUCUCCCCGAAAGCUAUUUAGGUAGCGCCUCGUGAAUUCAUCUCCGGGGGUAGAGCACUGUUUCGGCUAGGGGGUCAUCCCGACUUACCAACCCGAUGCAAACUGCGAAUACCGGAGAAUGUUAUCACGGGAGACACACGGCGGGUGCUAACGUUCGUCGUGAAGAGGGAAACAACCCAGACCGCCGGCUAAGGUCCCAAAGUCAUAAUUAAGUGGGAAACGAAGUGGGAAGGCUCAGACAGCCAGGAUGUUGGCUUAGAAGCAGCCAUCAUUUAAAGAAAGCGUAAUAGCUCACUGGUCGAGUCGGCCUGCGCGGAAGAUGUAACGGGGCUAAAUUAUGCACCGAAGCCGCGGCAGCGAUAUGUAAAUAUUGUUGGGUAGGGGAGCGUUCUGUAAGCCUGUGAAGGUGACCUGUGAGGGUUGCUGGAGGUAUCAGAAGUGCGAAUGCUGACAUAAGUAACGAUAAUGCGGGUGAAAAACCCGCACGCCGGAAGACCAAGGGUUCCUGUCCAACGUUAAUCGGGGCAGGGUGAGUCGACCCCUAAGGCGAGGCUGAAAAGCGUAGUCGAUGGGCAACGGGUUAAUAUUCCCGUACUGGUGGUAACUGCGAAGGGGGGACGGAGAAAGCUAAAUCAUCCGGGCGACGGUUGUCCCGGUUUAAGCGUGCAGGUGGACUGACCAGGCAAAUCCGGUCGGUUGUUAACACUGAGGCGUGACGACGAGCCACUACGGUGGUGAAGUGAUUGAUGCUCUGCUU
RNAcentral lists this ribosomal RNA (997 nucleotides) under Morganella morganii. RNAcentral describes it as "partial 23S ribosomal RNA". It matches the Rfam family "Bacterial large subunit ribosomal RNA", at positions 611 to 1607 of the family's 2925-position model. The record is from RNAcentral. Lineage: Bacteria; Pseudomonadati; Pseudomonadota; Gammaproteobacteria; Enterobacterales; Morganellaceae. RNAcentral also lists the same sequence under 1 other name.